This 552-nucleotide ribosomal RNA is filed under the name Bacillus cereus. RNAcentral's name for it is "bacterial SSU rRNA". It matches the Rfam family "Bacterial small subunit ribosomal RNA", at positions 57 to 589 of the family's 1533-position model. The record is from RNAcentral. Lineage: Bacteria; Bacillati; Bacillota; Bacilli; Caryophanales; Bacillaceae.
GCAGGUCGAGCGAAUGGGAUAAGAGCUUGCUCUUAUGAAGUUAGCGGCGGACGGGUGAGUAACACGUGGGUAACCUGCCCAUAAGACUGGGAUAACUCCGGGAAACCGGGGCUAAUACCGGAUAACAUUUUGAACCGCAGGGUUCGAAAUUGAAAGGCGGCUUCGGCUGUCACUUAUGGAUGGACCCGCGUCGCAUUAGCUAGUUGGUGAGGUAACGGCUCACCAAGGCAACGAUGCGUAGCCGACCUGAGAGGGUGAUCGGCCACACUGGGACUGAGACACGGCCCAGACUCCUACGGGAGGCAGCAGUAGGGAAUCUUCCGCAAUGGACGAAAGUCUGACGGAGCAACGCCGCGUGAGUGAUGAAGGCUUUCGGGUCGUAAAACUCUGUUGUUAGGGAAGAACAAGUGCUAGUUGAAUAAGCUGGCACCUUGACGGUACCUAACCAGAAAGCCACGGCUAACUACGUGCCAUCAGCCACGGUAAUACGUAGGUGGCAAGCGUUAUCCAGAAUUAUGGGGCGUAAAGCGGGCGUACGUCCUAUCUUAAGUC